CCUACGGGCGGCAGCAGUGGGGAAUAUUGGACAAUGGGCGAAAGCCUGAUCCAGCCAUGCCGCGUGUGUGAAGAAGGCCUUCGGGUUGUAAAGCACUUUCAGUGGGGAAGAAAGCCUUGGGGCUAAUACCCUCGAGGAAGGACAUCACCCACAGAAGAAGCACCGGCUAACUCCGUGCCAGCAGCCGCGGUAAUACGGAGGGUGCGAGCGUUAAUCGGAAUUACUGGGCGUAAAGCGCGCGUAGGCGGUCUGAUAAGCCGGUUGUGAAAGCCCCGGGCUCAACCUGGGAACGGCAUCCGGAACUGUCAGGCUAGAGUGCAGGAGAGGAAGGUAGAAUUCCCGGUGUAGCGGUGAAAUGCGUAGAGAUCGGGAGGAAUACCAGUGGCGAAGGCGGCCUUCUGGACUGACACUGACGCUGAGGUGCGAAAGAGUGGGUAGCAAACAGGAUUAGAUACCCCAGUAGUC
RNAcentral lists this ribosomal RNA (465 nucleotides) under Vreelandella stevensii. RNAcentral describes it as "partial 16S ribosomal RNA". It matches the Rfam family "Bacterial small subunit ribosomal RNA", at positions 338 to 795 of the family's 1533-position model. The record is from RNAcentral. Lineage: Bacteria; Pseudomonadati; Pseudomonadota; Gammaproteobacteria; Oceanospirillales; Halomonadaceae.